CCUUGAGCAGUAGGAUAUAAAUAACUCCCUUGUGUUUAGCAUUCCAGUAAUGGAACACUAGCCAUAAUAAACCGUUCCAAAAAUGCGUUCUAAUGGCUCUCAAGCAAGGUCCACUUGCAGUGAAAUAAACCAGAGGUUUGAAUCAUGGCUUGAUACGAAAUUAUUGGAAAGAAUAUGGCGAUGACAUCCACAAUGCCGGUAAGAAGACGAAAUUACAAGCAGGAUGAAAAAUUUGUUCAAUGAAACACAGCUAUUAAGUGGCUGACCUAAUAAGUGUUAUGUAUAAGUGACUCAUCCAUUGUAGCUUCUGGGACUCAACUUUAGGAUCAUCGUCAUAUGCAGCCUGGAGCUAGCCAUAUUUGAAGAGCUAGGAAGGAGGCACAGUGAUUGACAAUCUCCUUUCUCCUCAACUAGAAUGUCAUUUCCUUUUUUAAAACUAAUUUAAAUCCCAUCUACAUUCAAUUGCUUGUCUAAAAUAAAACCCAACUCCUCUCUUAAAGACUUUAAAAAUAUUAUAUAGCAGAGUUCAUCCUUUCUUUCUUCAGAGAAAGCAUCAUGAAAACAUGUUUUCAGGACAUUAAUAACUUGAUAUUCACAACCAACCUUUAAAUUUGGAAACAAGGAAUUCAUAACUACGUUGUAUAUAUAUGAAGAAAGUAAGCCUCAGAGAAUUUCAAGAGCCCGUCCAGGAUAGUCUGCUUCAGAGCCAUGGUUCUCAAAGUAUAUCAGAUCUCCAGAGUAGGUCUGCAGUGGGAGCCAAAAUUUUGCAUUUCUAACUUGGUCCCAGGUGAUACUUGUGCUGGCGCUGCUAGUCUACACUUAACUCUAUUCACUUUUUUUGUGUUUUCUUAGGAUAAAGAAAAUAUUUAGAAGAUGAGAUUCCUGUGUUUCUGGCUUUCAUUUUACUGGUCAUUCCUGCCAUGAGAAGAUGAUAGAGAAUAUCACCACAGUGUGACUUGCUUCCAAGGCAGCAUGGUUUCAUGCAGAGGAUCUAAACUGGGGACCAUGUGCUGGGCUGCAAAAGGGCUGUGCAGUGCCUAAAAUGUUAUGCAAAAUUUUAUAAAGGUAGGUCAUGUAUUGCUCCAUUGAUGCUGCCCUUAUUCAUGAUGAUUAAAGCCUUUGGGAGGUAUUCCUUCAGAAUAAUUUUCCUCAUCUGAAGGGGGUAUGUGAUCAAAGGGAUGAGAAAUUUAUGGGAGAGGAGGACAUCACAGACCCAACCACAUGCAGAAUGGGAGAUGAUGAACCCAGCCAGUUCCUUUGGAAUGGCCCAUGAAUACAAAGCUUUAUUCAUUCAUCAGGAUCCAGGCACCCAUUACACUAUGAGGGUGUAGUAAAAGCUGUAGACUAACUCAGAAAUAAGACUCGCAUCAAAAUGCAUGUGAAUAUAUUAAGCAAGUUAAGAAAGGCUGGAGACUAGGAAGAUGACUGUUCCACUAAGAAGUUCA
This 1445-nucleotide long non-coding RNA is filed under the name Homo sapiens (human). RNAcentral's name for it is "HSALNT0394364". Lineage: Eukaryota; Metazoa; Chordata; Mammalia; Primates; Hominidae. The record is from RNAcentral.